This is a non-coding RNA of Trichonephila clavata, 73 nucleotides long. NCBI's taxonomy places the organism in Eukaryota, Metazoa, Arthropoda, Arachnida, Araneae, Nephilidae. The record is from the annotation of a GenBank genome assembly.
GUUCCUGUAGCGCAAUGGAUAGCGCGUUGGACUUCUAAUCCAAACAUCGAGGUUUCAUAUCCCAUGUGGAAUG